UCUAAUCAUCUCAUCUCCUCACCCCUCACCUCUCACCCUCUUAAACCCUAACCCGCCAUCACCAUUUCCUUAUGAUUCCUAUCCAGAAAUGGAAUCAUUCCUUGAUUCCUUACCAUAUCUGCUCUUACCUCUUUACCAGCCACUCAUUUUUUAUAUUACUUGACUGGUUUGCCUCAAGUGGCAAUUUGCUCGAGAGAUUCGAACCAGAUCUGGUUCAAAAUCUCUUAUAUUUUGGUUAUUUUCGUCCGUGUUCAUCCCAAUAUUUCUCGUUUGUGAGAUCUGUUCAAAGCUGGGUAUUGAAGUUUCAAGGUCGUCAAGGUCCGGUCCGUUGAUUUCGCCAUUGAAGUUGUGGCCGAUUAGUUUUGUUCUGUUUAAAUGCCCCUAUUUCGGUUUCUUUUAGUUCUGUUCAAAUCGUUGUUGCCGGAUGUUCUUGUACUCGACAUCGCGAGAAGUUCUUAUAUCUGAAAUUUCCUCUUUUAAAGCUGCUGUUGA
Molecule: non-coding RNA, 492 nt
Organism: Nicotiana tabacum (common tobacco)
Lineage: Eukaryota; Viridiplantae; Streptophyta; Magnoliopsida; Solanales; Solanaceae
Source: RefSeq, a predicted model, not a curated record